This 378-nucleotide ribosomal RNA is filed under the name Alternaria petroselini. Its description in RNAcentral is "SSU rRNA". It matches the Rfam family "Eukaryotic small subunit ribosomal RNA", at positions 1456 to 1831 of the family's 1831-position model. Lineage: Eukaryota; Fungi; Ascomycota; Dothideomycetes; Pleosporales; Pleosporaceae. The record is from RNAcentral.
ACAGGUCUGUGAUGCCCUUAGAUGUUCUGGGCCGCACGCGCGCUACACUGACAGAGCCAACGAGUUCUUUUCCUUGUUCGAAAGAAUUGGGCAAUCUUGUUAAACUCUGUCGUGCUGGGGAUAAAGCAUUGCAAUUAUUGCUUUUCAACGAGGAAUGCCUAGUAAGCGCGUGUCAUCAGCAUGCGUUGAUUACGUCCCUGACCUUUGUACACACCGCCCGUCGCUACUACCGAUUGAAUGGCUCAGUGAGGCCUUCGGACUGGCUCGAGGAGGUUGGCAACGACCACCUCAAGCCGGAAAGUUGGUCAAACUCGGUCAUUUAGAGGAAGUAAAAGUCGUAACAAGGUCUCCGUAGGUGAACCUGCGGAGGGAUCAUUA